AUUGAUGGGGAUGUCUCGAGAUCCUGGUAGGAUGACAGCAAGACAGUGUGGGGGAAUGGCGUCUUCCGUCGUUACGUACAUCGGUCCUUAGAGAAGAAACGGGUGGCGCCAGGCAAGACAUGCCAGACACGAUGAAUAUUCAACAUCCGUUCUUGGACAGAGAUGUGCAAGUGUUAGAAAUGGCAGAAGUGAAUUUCUUUAUUGUGUGUAAACCUAUUCGAUCCAAACAUUUAACAAAUCAAUUGACUAAAAGGUCGGCCCAAAU
This is a long non-coding RNA of Physella acuta, 265 nucleotides long. RefSeq lists it as uncharacterized. The record is from RefSeq and is a predicted model, not a curated record. NCBI's taxonomy places the organism in Eukaryota, Metazoa, Mollusca, Gastropoda, Physidae.